Molecule: long non-coding RNA, 900 nt
Organism: Homo sapiens (human)
Lineage: Eukaryota; Metazoa; Chordata; Mammalia; Primates; Hominidae
Gene: MEG8
Product: maternally expressed 8, small nucleolar RNA host gene
Source: Ensembl
GCCCAAGCCUGUAUCAAGUCUGGGGCGCAUCUCACAUCCCCACACCUGCCUCCAGUACUGCUCACCGCACCCGGGACACACAGUAAUCCUGAAACCAAGGUCGGCUGCAUCUUCUUCCUCCCUGCACCCUCCAGGAGCAAUCCAUCAGUCAUCCUGCCCAGAGCUUGUGAAGGUGCAGUGGCCUGAGCCAGGCUUCCAAGAGGACAACCGUGAUGGGCUCUGUGUGCGUUGCUGGGUAAAGAGUCAUUCAUGGCUGGGCAUGGUGGCUAACGCCUGUAAUCCCAGCACUUUGGGAGGCCCAGGUGGGCGGAUCACCUGAGGUCAGGAGUUCGAGACCAGCCUGCCCAACAUGGCGAAACCCUGGCUCUACCAAAAAUACAAAAAACUUAGCUGGGCAUGGUGGUGGGUGCCUGUAAUCCCAGCUACUCAGGAGGCUGAGGCAGGAGAAUUGCUUGAACCCGGGAGGCGGAGGUUGCAGUGAGCCGAGAUUGUGCCACUGGACUCCAGCCUGGGUGACAAGAGCGAAACUCCAUGUCAAAAAAAAAGGGUCAUUCAUAUCUAUAUAUAAUGCAAUUUUUGUCUGUCACUUUAUCUCAUCUAUUUCUUUUCCUUUGACUAGAUCUUCUAAAACAUUAUAUUAUUGAUAACAGAAAUCUUGUCUUGUUUCUGGUUCACUUUUAAGUAUGGUUGCAAAUCAUUUUUUAGUUGAGAUUUUUUAAAUAAAUGAAGUAUUUAUACCUAGUUAAUAUAAGACUUUAAAUCAGGAUUGGAGUUAGAAUUUUAUGAAAUGCUUUUUUGAUAUCUGCAGAUAUCAUGUUGUUUUUCUCUGUUGAUCUGUUGAUACAAUAAGCUAAUGUUUCGUAACUUUGAAACAUUUUUGAUUGAAUUCUACUUGAUUAU